AGGAACCUGCCCGGGUGGACAAAACCCGGAGGAAAGGUGGGGAUGACGUCAAGGUCAUCAUGGCCCUUACGGCCCUGGGCUACACACGUGCUACAAUGGUCGGUACAAAGGGUUGCCAAGCCGCGAGGUGGAGCUAAUCCCAUAAAACCGAUCGUAGUCCCGGAUCGCAGUCUGCAACUCGACUGCGUGAAGUUCGGAAUCGCUAGUAAUCGUGAAUCAGAAUGUCACGGUGAAUACGUUCCCGGGCCUU
This 250-nucleotide ribosomal RNA is filed under the name uncultured Pseudomonas sp. RNAcentral describes it as "partial 16S ribosomal RNA". It matches the Rfam family "Bacterial small subunit ribosomal RNA", at positions 1143 to 1382 of the family's 1533-position model. The record is from RNAcentral. Lineage: Bacteria; Pseudomonadati; Pseudomonadota; Gammaproteobacteria; Pseudomonadales; Pseudomonadaceae.